Molecule: ribosomal RNA, 578 nt
Filed under: Trigonopterus sp. 506 MB-2015
Lineage: Eukaryota; Metazoa; Arthropoda; Insecta; Coleoptera; Curculionidae
Description: SSU rRNA
Rfam family: Eukaryotic small subunit ribosomal RNA
Source: RNAcentral
GUCAUAUGCUUGUCUCAAAGAUUAAGCCAUGCAUGUCUCAGUACAAGCCAAAUUAAGGUGAAACCGCGAAAGGCUCAUUAAAUCAGUUAUGGUUCCUUAGAUCGUACCCACAAUUACUUGGAUAACUGUGGUAAUUCUAGAGCUAAUACAUGCAAACAGAGCUCCGACCGGAGACGGAAGGAGUGCUUUUAUUAGAUCAAAACCAAUCGGUGGCGAGUUCGCUCGUUAUCGUACAACUUGGUGACUCUGAAUAACUUUACGCUGAUCGCACGGUCAUCGCACCGGCGACGCAUCUUUCAAAUGUCUGCCUUAUCAACUGUCGAUGGUAGGUUCUGCGCCUACCAUGGUUGUAACGGGUAACGGGGAAUCAGGGUUCGAUUCCGGAGAGGGAGCCUGAGAAACGGCUACCACAUCCAAGGAAGGCAGCAGGCGCGCAAAUUACCCACUCCCGGCACGGGGAGGUAGUGACRAAAAAUAACGAUACGGGACUCAUCCRAGGCCCCGUAAUCGGAAUGAGUACACUCUAAACCCUUUAACGAGGAUCAAUUGGAGGGCAAGUCUGGUGCCAGCAGCCGCGG